CUUUCCCUCGCCGGUGCUUCCUGUGUGGCCCCCUGUUCACGUUGCAGGUUGUUGUGGAACCCUCUCGUGAGUCUUGUCUUUCCACCUCUCAUCCUCCACCCUUCCUUUCACGCCCCUCGCCCCUUAGCUCUUGUCAACCCAAGUCACCGCUGCUGCCCGUUUCUUACUCUUCUCCGUCGACACGCGAACGCAAACGAGAAACCGCACAUCCGCCAGCCAAGCGUGCAGCGCGCUCCCGUCCCUCUUCCAGCUUUCUAUUAUCCCGCGCGCGGCUGUGCCACUCGCAGAGUCCUCCCAGCUUGUCUUUCGGUUGGCAAGUCUCCUGUAGCUUCUCCCCUCCCCGUGCGAGUGCAUCGUGUCUUUGCUGGCUUUCGUUUGUGCGCGUGCUCAGCACGCCGACUCUCCUCGUUCUCGCGGAUAUCUCUCCCUCUCCCUGGUCGCUCUUUCCGUUCGCCCCUUCGCCGCUGAGCACCGCGCGGUGGGCGUGUUCUCGUUUCUCUUUUCGCAGGGCCCCCUCCCUCCGUCUGUGGCGCAGGCGCUCGUCUUUCUCCGCUCACCAUUUUCGGUGUUCCCUUUGGCCCCUCCCCCUCCAAACUCAUCACCACGCAGCUCUCGUCGUGUUACUGCUGCUGUUAUCGUCUUCGCUCCCUAUCCCGCAUCCUCAUCUUUCUUUCACCCCAGCUUUUCCGUCCAGCCUAUCCGCAACGUCCCUCCCGGACUCACGUGUGCUACUACGCGGUGCGAGCGAGCCACAAGCCGUGGUAUGCUUUGCCUGUAUUCUUUUCCUUUGCAGUCGCAGUGAAGGCAUCAACGCACAGGCACGGGCGUCCCACGUGUGGUUGAACUUGGUCUGCGCUCUUCCCUCUUCGCUCUCCCUCUCCGUUAUGGUUGUCGCUUCUUUUCGCCACUUUGCCGUGGCUGCUUGCAUCCACACGAUCCCACUCACCCACUCCCGUCCAUCUUCUUCGGCAGCUUGGGGUCUCCGCGUGUGGCCGACGCUUCUCUUUCUCUUUUGCUCUUUCCUUCACGGCAGAAGAGGCGAGCAAGGGGGAACACACCUCUCCGUGCGUGCUAUCUCAGGGUCCAGUGCCCACCCACCCCCCUCGCAACUCGCUGUGCUGGAAAGCCAAGCAGCACCCCGAUCCCCAUCCCCUGCCAAGUGCCGAGCCGCUUCUGCUGGUGACAGGGGGGUUAGUGUUGGGUGCAGGGGCCGCGCUCAGGUCACCGAGCUGGCGCCUUGCCGUAAACGCGUGCGUCUCCUGCCGCCUCGCACCACGCGGAUGGGGCCUGUGGCAGGGGCCGGGUGGUGGGGAAUGGGAUGCGGAGUGGCGUUGGGCCUCGCGUUGCAUGGCCGAGAGAGAGAUGAGUACACACGGCAGUGGGAAGGAAAAGCACCAUUUAUAUUUCGUAUUUGCCGCACGUUCUCCCUCACUCUUUUCAACUGAAUCUUUUCUGCCGCCCCCCCCCGUUUUCUGUGACCUCUCGCAGUGGCUGCUUGCACACAUGCGCCGUACCGGCAGGGCCUCUUCCUCUUGCCCGCAGUGGUGAAUGCGCAGCAUCUGCGUGCCGCUCAACUUUUUCCUCCCCCUCCGGCAUUCUCCGUUGUUAACCACCUCUACCAUGUUUCGCCUACCCCUCCUUUAUACCCGAGUCUUGUCUGUUUGCGCCUUUCUUGUGAGCACUGCCUGUCUUGUCACGUCGACGCUCGCUCCAUCGCCGACAAUUCCCACUCGCGAACCCGUAAG
RNAcentral lists this unclassified non-coding RNA (1745 nucleotides) under Leishmania donovani. Its description in RNAcentral is "gene:unknown". The record is from RNAcentral. Lineage: Eukaryota; Euglenozoa; Kinetoplastea; Trypanosomatida; Trypanosomatidae.